Molecule: ribosomal RNA, 253 nt
Filed under: uncultured bacterium
Lineage: Bacteria
Description: partial 16S ribosomal RNA
Rfam family: Bacterial small subunit ribosomal RNA
Source: RNAcentral
UACGUAGGGUGCAAGCGUUGUCCGGAAUUAUUGGGCGUAAAGAGCUCGUAGGCGGCUUGUCACGUCGACUGUGAAAACCCGGGGCUCAACUCCGGGCCUGCAGUCGAUACGGGCUGGCUUGAGUGCGGUAGGGGAGACUGGAAUUCCUGGUGUAGCGGUGAAAUGCGCAGAUAUCAGGAGGAACACCGGUGGCGAAGGCGGCAUCCUGGACCGGUAUUGACGCUGAGGAGCGAAAGCCAGGGGAGCAAACAGG